RNAcentral lists this ribosomal RNA (494 nucleotides) under uncultured bacterium. RNAcentral's name for it is "bacterial SSU rRNA". It matches the Rfam family "Bacterial small subunit ribosomal RNA", at positions 903 to 1397 of the family's 1533-position model. The record is from RNAcentral.
AAAGGAAUAGACGGGGGCCCGCACAAGCAGCGGAGCAUGUGGUUUAAUUCGAAGCAACGCGAAGAACCUUACCAGGUCUUGACAUCCAGGUAAAGCUGUAGAGAUACAGUGUGUGCUUGCACAAUCUGAGACAGGUGGUGCAUGGUUGUCGUCAGCUCGUGUCGUGAGAUGUUGGGUUAAGUCCCGCAACGAGCGCAACCCUUGCCGGUAGUUACUAACGGAUGAUGCCGAGGACUUUACUGGGACCGCCGGGGACAACUCGGAGGAAGGUGGGGACGACGUCAAAUCAUCAUGCCCCUUAUGACCUGGGCUACACACGUGCUACAAUGGCCGAGACAGAGAGCUGCGAAGGCGCAAGCCGGAGCGAAUCUCAAAAAAGCGGUCACAGUUCGGAUUGUGGGCUGCAACCCGCCCACAUGAAGCAGGAGUUGCUAGUAAUCGCGAAUCAGCAUGUCGCGGUGAAUACGUUCCCGGGCCUUGUACACACCGCCCGU